CCAUGCUGUUCUUGUGAUAGUGACUGAAUUCUCAGGAUACCUGAUGGUUUUGUAAGUGUUUGACAGUUCCUCCCUCACAUACUCUCCCUCUUCUGCUGCCUUGUGAAAAAGAUGCCUGCUUCCCCUUCUGCAAAGAUUGUUAAGUUACCUGAGGCCUCCCAGCCAUGUGAAACUAAACGAAAAGCAGAAUACUGAAAGAAUACACCUGUUUUGAAGUCUGAUAAAUAACCCUCAUCUAUUCAAGAUCCAGAACAAAGGAACUCUUUCCUAGCCAUGACAGAACACACUGCUGAAUCACCAUCAAGAGUUCCUGGAUUGAAUGUGACAUUAUUUGGAGACAGCUGUCAUAUGCCCUAAAGGAAUAAGGUUUCCUGAGGCCUCUUCAGCAAUGCAUACUGCUGUUAGGCAGAAGAGGCUUUCCUUUUCUUAGAUGAGGCUUUGGACUUGGACCUUUGGUUAAUGCUGAAAUGAGUUAAGAUUUUGAAGGACUGUUGGGAAGGCAUGAUUGGUUUUGAAAUGUGAAAAGUACAUUAUGUUUGGGAGAGCCCAGGGGUAGAAUGAUAUGGCUUGGCUCUGUGUCCCCAACCAAAUGUCAUCUCAAAGUGUAAUCUCCAUGUGUUAAGGCAGGGACCAGGUAGGAGGUGAUUGGAUUAUGAGGGUGGUAUCCCCCCUGCUGUUCUUGUGAUAGUGUGGGAGUUCUCAUGAGAUCUGAUGGUUUAAAAGUUUCUCCUGUGCUUUCUCCUUUUCUCCUGCUGCCAUGUGAGAUGUGCAUUGCUUCCCCUUUGCCUUCAGCCAUGAUUAUAAGUUUCCUGAGGCUUCUCCAGUCAUGUGUAACUGUGAGUCAAUAAAAUCUCUUUUAUAUUUAUAAAUUAC
Molecule: long non-coding RNA, 873 nt
Filed under: Homo sapiens (human)
Lineage: Eukaryota; Metazoa; Chordata; Mammalia; Primates; Hominidae
Description: HSALNT0092090
Source: RNAcentral